This 1851-nucleotide ribosomal RNA is filed under the name Streptomyces albidoflavus. RNAcentral describes it as "partial 23S ribosomal RNA". It matches the Rfam family "Bacterial large subunit ribosomal RNA", at positions 1 to 1657 of the family's 2925-position model. Lineage: Bacteria; Bacillati; Actinomycetota; Actinomycetes; Kitasatosporales; Streptomycetaceae. The record is from RNAcentral.
ACAGUGGACGCGAGCAUCUGUGGCCAAGUUUUUAAGGGCGCACGGUGGAUGCCUUGGCACCAGGAACCGAUGAAGGACGUGGGAGGCCACGAUAGUCCCCGGGGAGUCGUCAACCAGGCUUUGAUCCGGGGGUUUCCGAAUGGGGAAACCCGGCAGUCGUCAUGGGCUGUCACCCGCUGCUGAACUCAUAGGCAGUGUGGAGGGAACGCGGGGAAGUGAAACAUCUCAGUACCCGCAGGAAGAGAAAACAACCGUGAUUCCGGGAGUAGUGGCGAGCGAAACUGGAUGAGGCYAAACCGUAUGUGUGUGAUACCCGGCAGGGGUUGCGCAUGCGGGGUUGUGGGAUCUCUCUUUYACGGUCUGCCGGCCGUGRGRCGAGUCAGAAACCGUUGAUGUAGGCGAAGGACAUGCGAAAGGUCCGGCGUAGAGGGUAAGACCCCCGUAGUCGAAACAUCAGCGGCUCGUUUGAGAGACACCCAAGUAGCACGGGGCCCGAGAAAUCCCGUGUGAAUCUGGCGGGACCACCCGCUAAGCCUAAAUAUUCCCUGGUGACCGAUAGCGGAUAGUACCGUGAGGGAAUGGUGAAAAGUACCGCGGGAGCGGAGUGAAAUAGUACCUGAAACCGUGUGCCUACAAGCCGUGGGAGCGUCGCGCAUCGAGUUUGCUCGGUGCGUCGUGACUGCGUGCCUUUUGAAGAAUGAGCCUGCGAGUUAGCGGUGUGUAGCGAGGUUAACCCGUGUGGGGAAGCCGUAGCGAAAGCGAGUCCGAAGAGGGCGUUUKAGUUGCACGCUCUAGACCCGAAGCGGAGUGAUCUAGCCAUGGGCAGGUUGAAGCGGCUGUAAGAGGUCGUGGAGGACCGAACCCACCAGGGUUGAAAACCUGGGGGAUGACCUGUGGUUAGGGGUGAAAGGCCAAUCAAACUCCGUGAUAGCUGGUUCUCCCCGAAAUGCAUUUAGGUGCAGCGUCGUGUGUUUCUUGCCGGAGGUAGAGCACUGGAUAGGCGAUGGGCCCUACCGGGUUACUGACCUUAGCCAAACUCCGAAUGCCGGUAAGUGAGAGCGCGGCAGUGAGACUGUGGGGGAUAAGCUCCAUGGUCGAGAGGGAAACAGCCCAGAGCAUCGACUAAGGCCCCUAAGCGUACGCUAAGUGGGAAAGGAUGUGGAGUCGCAGAGACAACCAGGAGGUUGGCUUAGAAGCAGCCACCCUUGAAAGAGUGCGUAAUAGCUCACUGGUCUAGUGAUUCCGCGCCGACAAUGUAGCGGGGCUCAAGCGUACCGCCGAAGUCGUGUCAUUGCAGCAAUACUCCUAACGGGGGCUGUGAUGGGUAGGGGAGCGUCGUGUGCCGGGUGAAGCAGCCGUGGAAGCGAGUUGUGGACGGUUCACGAGUGAGAAUGCAGGCAUGAGUAGCGAUUCACACGUGAGAAACGUGUGCGCCGAUUGACUAAGGGUUCCUGGGUCAAGCUGAUCUGCCCAGGGUAAGUCGGGACCUAAGGCGAGGCCGACAGGCGUAGUCGAUGGAUAACCGGUUGAUAUUCCGGUACCCGCUGUGAAGCGUCAAACAUUGAAUCCAGUGAUGCUAAGCCCGUGAAGCCGUUCCGGACCCUUCGGGGAAUGGAAAGUGGUGGAGCCGGYGGCCCGAGCUGGUAGUAGGUGAGUGAUGGGGUGACGCAGGAAGGUAGUCCAUCCCGGGCGGUGGUUGUCCCGGGGUAAGGGUGUAGGACGUCAGGUAGGUAAAUCCGCCUGGCAUAGAGUCUGAGACCUGAUGCCGAGCCGAUUGUGGUGAAGUGGAUGAUCCUAUGCUGUCGAGAAAAGCCUCUAGCGAGUUUUAUGGCGGCCCGUACCCUAAACCGA